GAUCCUGGCUCAGGAUGAACGCUGGCGGCGUGCCUAACACAUGCAAGUCGAACGGACUUACAUUGAAGCCUAGCGAUAUGUAAGUUAGUGGCGGACGGGUGAGUAACGCGUGGGUAACCUGCCUUGUACUGGGGGACAACAGUUGGAAACGACUGCUAAUACCGCAUAAGCGCACAGCUUCGCAUGAAGCAGUGUGAAAAACUCCGGUGGUACAAGAUGGACCCGCGUCUGAUUAGCUGGUUGG
This 244-nucleotide ribosomal RNA is filed under the name uncultured bacterium. Its description in RNAcentral is "partial 16S ribosomal RNA". It matches the Rfam family "Bacterial small subunit ribosomal RNA", at positions 15 to 252 of the family's 1533-position model. The record is from RNAcentral.